UCUUAUCGCUUUUGCACGCGGCACAAUAUGCUGUCAACGAAACACAUGCCAGGGCGAUACUACCUCAUUUUAUCUGGAUCGUGCAAUAUUUGAUAUCGCCGACAAGAUAGUCUGUCCCGGUUGUGGUCGUGGAGGGUGCUGCUACAAAUGUAAUAAAUGCGAAUCAGUGGAAUUCACAAACAGUGCCUGUCGGUUCUACAAUGCUAGAGCUGGACCAAAAUGUUCGAAAUGCGGAUCGGAAUGCCAAAACGUUUAGAUUUUGGCCGAGUUCCUGACAGACUGGACUGAGGAAUAACACUAAGAAUAAAAUGACAGUUCCAAGAUAGCCUGUUACAUAUUAACACUACACAUUUUCAUAAUUAUUAAAUAAGUAAGCUUAUUGUUUAGAAUUCAAUGCUAAAAGUGUCUAAACAUGCAACACAAAACCCACUCUGAAAUGACUCAAACGUUAUAUAAAAGCGGCGAAAAACACCUACGUCAUUAUCACGUAAGAAGAGAAAAAGAAAAAGAACAAAGUAUAAACGGUGUUUAUACAUAUCUUUUUCUUAGAGAAAAAAAAGCUUUAUGAAUAAUGUACGUUCUACUAAUAAAUGUAAUUCGUCAAGGACAGUCAAAUGUUAGAUUACUUUCUAUGCAGUUUAUUGUUAAUUGAUAAACCGGUAUACAACGUGAAAGAGAUA
Long non-coding RNA from Dreissena polymorpha, 680 nucleotides. RefSeq lists it as uncharacterized. Lineage: Eukaryota; Metazoa; Mollusca; Bivalvia; Myida; Dreissenidae. The record is from RefSeq and is a predicted model, not a curated record. The transcript is spliced from 3 exons.